UCUAUUGGUGCGGACCUCGCCUUCAGUGG
RNAcentral lists this non-coding RNA (29 nucleotides) under Rattus norvegicus (Norway rat). Lineage: Eukaryota; Metazoa; Chordata; Mammalia; Rodentia; Muridae. The record is from RNAcentral.